Amblyraja radiata (thorny skate) is the source of this 130-nucleotide long non-coding RNA. RefSeq lists it as uncharacterized. The transcript is spliced from 3 exons. Lineage: Eukaryota; Metazoa; Chordata; Chondrichthyes; Rajiformes; Rajidae. The record is from RefSeq and is a predicted model, not a curated record.
CUACUAACUAAUAUUCAAAGUGGACUAGAAUUCCUUACCGUCCACAUGCAGAUAUAACAAGCAAUUGGGAAGCAUUGCAAGGGGAUGAAUAUAAGAUUCAAGAGAGUUUAUUGUUUAAGGAGGAACUGCA